GACGAACGCUGGCGGCGUGCUUAACACAUGCAAGUCGAACGGAAAGGCCCUGCUUUUGUGGGGUGCUCGAGUGGCGAACGGGUGAGUAACACGUGAGUAACCUGCCCUUGACUUUGGGAUAACUUCAGGAAACUGGGGCUAAUACCGGAUAGGAGCUCCUGCUGCAUGGUGGGGGUUGGAAAGUUUCGGCGGUUGGGGAGGGACUCGCGGCUUAUCAGCUUGUUGGUGGGGUAGUGGCUUACCAAGGCUUUGACGGGUAGCCGGCCUGAGAGGGUGACCGGCCACAUUGGGACUGAGAUACGGCCCAGACUCCUACGGGAGGCAGUAGUGGGGAAUAUUGCACAAUGGGCGGAAGCCUGAUGCAGGAACGCCGCGUGCGGGAUGACGGCCAUCGGGUUGUAAACCGCUUUCGCCUGUGACGAAGCGUGAGUGACGGUAAUGGGUAAAGAAGCACCGGCUAACUACGUG
This 468-nucleotide ribosomal RNA is filed under the name uncultured bacterium. Its description in RNAcentral is "partial 16S ribosomal RNA". It matches the Rfam family "Bacterial small subunit ribosomal RNA", at positions 28 to 507 of the family's 1533-position model. The record is from RNAcentral.